UACGAAGGGGGCUAGCGUUGUCCGGAAUUAUUGGGCGUAAAGCGCGCGCAGGCGGUCCCGUAAGUCUGAUGUGAAAGCCCAGGGCUCAACCGUGGAGGGUCAUUGGAAACUGCGGGACUGGAGUACAGAAGAGGAAAGUGGAAUUCCAUGUGUAGCGGUGAAAUGCGUAGAGAUGUGGAGGAACACCAGUGGCGAAGGCGGCUCACUGGCUCGAUACUGACGCUGAGGUGCGAAAGUGUGGGGAGCAAACAGG
RNAcentral lists this unclassified non-coding RNA (253 nucleotides) under uncultured Caryophanaceae bacterium. RNAcentral describes it as "uncultured Planococcaceae bacterium contains 16S-23S intergenic spacer region". It matches the Rfam family "Bacterial small subunit ribosomal RNA", at positions 524 to 776 of the family's 1533-position model. Lineage: Bacteria; Bacillati; Bacillota; Bacilli; Caryophanales; Caryophanaceae. The record is from RNAcentral.